GAUUUCUGGUACAAUGCACCUGGCCCGCGGCCUAUUAGGCUUGUGAGUGCCGGCGCGCGUUUACCAUCCUUCUAGAAAACAGGCCUGCCCUUUACUGGGUUGGGUUUGCGAUCUAGAUCUUUUACUUUGAAAAAAUUAGAGUGUUUAAAGCAGGCUUUUGCUAUGAAUACAUUAGCAUGGAAUAAUAAUCUAGGACUUCGGUUCUAUUUUGUUGGUUUCGAGAGCUGAAGUAAUGAUUGAUAGGGAUAGUUGGGGGUGCUAGUAUUCAGAGGCCAGAGGUGAAAUUCUUGGAUUCUCUGAAGACUAACUUAUGCGAAAGCAUU
This 323-nucleotide ribosomal RNA is filed under the name uncultured Rhogostoma. RNAcentral's name for it is "SSU rRNA". The stretch from base 56 to 323 matches the Rfam family "Eukaryotic small subunit ribosomal RNA", at positions 686 to 955 of the family's 1831-position model. The record is from RNAcentral. Lineage: Eukaryota; Cercozoa; Thecofilosea; Cryomonadida.